ACUCUUACUCUGGUGAUAACUAGUAUGAUUUUAAGUUUAAUUGCUGUCACAGUGAAAAGUGAAAAUAAUCAAAAGUGAAAAUUAGAAAAUUCCCAGAGUGUACAGUGAUUACAAUAUCCCAGAGGGAAAAUCAGAAAAUAUCCAGAGUGAAAAGUGAAAAUACCGGAGUGAAAAAUGAAAAUAGUUAGAGAGAAACGUGAAAAUGCCCCUGAGUGAAAAAUUAAAAUAGCUAGACAGAAAAGUGAAAAGUCUCAGAGUAAAGUGUGAAAAUACCCAAGAGUGCAGAAUGAAAAAUGAAAAUAGCUAGAGAGAAAAGUGAAAAUACCCAGAGUGCAGAGUGAAAAAUGAAUCGGAGCAGUGGUUUAGAUAUUAUGUGAGAUAUCAGUGUCCACAGACGACGAUAAACACAAGAUCUUACCUAAACCUUCAUUCAAUGACGCAAGCGUCGUGAGCCGUCUGGUUUAUAUAACUUUUGUCAAGCCCAGUGAAAGAGUUAGUGGAAAACUGACAGGUUGAACUUAUAUGAAAGACAUGAUGCAGCAAGACACAACGAAGAGGAAAGUGAACAUCGUUACAAGUACUACUAUUUAAUGCUUGUGUGUCUGUUCUGACGUUGGCCUCGGUUUUUGUUGUGAUCAGAAAUGUUUGCUGCACGUAAUUUGUUCAGACCCCUACGGGUGUCUACCCGGAGUCACUUUAGAAAUUUAUCGGCGGAUGUUCCGGUUGCCCCCAAGAAAAAGAGGCGCAUCCUCAGAGCAGUUGGCAAGACAUUAGGGGGGAUAGCUAUCGUUGUACCGGCUGCAGGUGGUGUUUACUACAGCAUAAGUGAUGACAUUACUCGGCGACAAAUUAGAGUAACUGUGGAAGGCAUUGGAAGGUUUUUCAGGUCACUUAAGGUUGGUGCAAUGAUCUCGUUAGACUACAAAUGGUCAACCUAUGGCAUGGAUGAAACAAGUGACGAGUACAUGGAUGCUCUCCGUGGUGCUCAUCAGCGUUCAGCAGAACGUAUUUUGAAAGGUUGU
Molecule: long non-coding RNA, 1022 nt
Organism: Macrobrachium nipponense
Lineage: Eukaryota; Metazoa; Arthropoda; Malacostraca; Decapoda; Palaemonidae
Exons: 3
Source: RefSeq, a predicted model, not a curated record